AGAGAGUGCAAGCGUUAAUCGGAAUUACUGGGCGUAAAGCGCACGUAGGCGGAUACUUAAGUCGGUUGUGAAAGCCCUAGGCUUAACCUAGGAAUUGCAGUCGAUACUGGGUGUCUUUGAGUAUGGUAGAGGGAAGUGGAAUUUCCGGUGUAGCGGUGAAAUGCGUAGAUAUCGGAAGGAACACCAGUGGCGAAGGCGGCUUCCUGGACCAAUACUGACGCUGAGGUGCGAAAGCGUGGGGAGCAAACAGGAUUAGAGACCCUGGUAGUCCACGCUGUCAACGAUGAGAACUAGACGUUGGAGAGUUUACUCUUUAGUGUCGAAGCUAACGCGCUAAGUUCUCCGCCUGGGAGUACGGUCGCAAGAUUA
This 369-nucleotide ribosomal RNA is filed under the name uncultured organism. RNAcentral describes it as "partial 16S ribosomal RNA". It matches the Rfam family "Bacterial small subunit ribosomal RNA", at positions 527 to 896 of the family's 1533-position model. The record is from RNAcentral.